GACCUUAUAGUCAUGAAUGAUAUUAGACUGCAAUUCUAAAGGAGUAAAUAUUUUACUAAGGUUU
This 64-nucleotide transfer RNA is filed under the name Cosmetura nigrogeniculata. RNAcentral's name for it is "tRNA-Cys". Lineage: Eukaryota; Metazoa; Arthropoda; Insecta; Orthoptera; Tettigoniidae. The record is from RNAcentral.